Molecule: long non-coding RNA, 1326 nt
Organism: Salvia miltiorrhiza (redroot sage)
Lineage: Eukaryota; Viridiplantae; Streptophyta; Magnoliopsida; Lamiales; Lamiaceae
Exons: 3
Source: RefSeq, a predicted model, not a curated record
CCAAGGGAAGCUUAGCAUUCAAUAUUUUUUGAAUUUAGAAGGUGGGUCUCAUUUUAGUUUGAACUUGACAAAUAUUGUGGGAAAAACUGAGGUCGUCAUUUUUUUGGAGGAAAGCUUGAAGGUGGCUGUGUUCGUCAUUUUUCAUCAAUCUUCACCAAGUUCGUCAACGACUGCUUUGGGAUCCUUGCCGGAGACAUCUUCCCGGCGUUUGAAGGGUUAGAGUUGGGUCUGGCGUUGUUGACGCGUUUUGUUUCCUCUCCCGGCAUUUCUGCCUUUCCAGUUCCGUGGGUUUCCCUUCCGGCGUUGGCUCCGGCGUUCUUCGCAUUUUGUGAGUCGUUUCGCCGUUCGGUGUUUCCCUUUUUCAUUCAAUUUUAUUUUUCCUUCACUUGGUGUAGUUAGAUAUUUAUAGGUUUUUUAGUUGCAAAAUGUUAUAGUAUGUUUUUUUGCGUCGAUUCGGUUUAAUUAGGCAAAUUAAUGGCGAAUUGAGCUAGAUCUAUGGCUUUUUUUUUACUGAUUACCUAGUAUUCUAGUUAUAACUCAAUCGUUGAUUGUCGAGGAUGGUGGUGGGAAAUGUUGAUGUGCCACCCAAGAGAAAACGUUCAGCAAGAAUGAUCUUGCUGAUAGUGAUGGUGGAGAGGAUGACGAGAGGCCAGCACGUUGCCGGCGAUUCUGCCCUCGGCUGUAGCCAACGGUUUGACUCCAGAAUAUGCUGCUGAUAGAGGUAAUUAGGAAACUCUUCUUCUCUCCGCUGAUGUGAAGGUCGGAUUGGUGCUUGUCGACAUCGUUAAUGGCUUCUGCACUGUUGGUUCCGGAAAUCUCGAUUAGUUCAGUAGAAACAGAAGGUAAUGAUGGAGUAUUCUGCACUUCAGAUUCCAUUAAUGUUCUAGAUUUCUGGCAACCUUAAGGCAUUGCUUUUAAGAUACCUAAAGUCGGAGUGGAUGUGCAGUCAGCUUUCUCGCUUGGGGAUUCCAUCUACAUUGGAUGUUCUACAUUAAGAUCAGCUGUGAAAAAACAAUACUCUUCCCAAAUCCAACAGUUCUCUUUGCGCAAACAAAGGCUUUUUAGCACCUACACAUUAACUGAGUCAAAUGCUGACAGCCACUUCACAUCAUUGCCCCAAGUUUGGGGAUGUUCAAACUACGUCAUGGGAGUUUGCGGACUUGGAUCGAGCAAUAAUUUAUUGCCUGUCGUUUUGGCAUAUUAGCUAUUUUAGUUAAAACUUGCUUCUUGGAGUGUUUGUGAGUUAGUUUGUUUUUUUUUUGUUUUUCUAAUGCAACAACUUUGUUUGUAAUUGUUGUAUUAUAUAUCCAGUUUUCUUUCGUUUUG